Molecule: long non-coding RNA, 6498 nt
Filed under: Homo sapiens (human)
Lineage: Eukaryota; Metazoa; Chordata; Mammalia; Primates; Hominidae
Description: non-protein coding lnc-JAM3-3:18
Source: RNAcentral
ACUCUCGCACGGAAAAGCCCCACUUCUCCUCAGCGUCUGGGUGCUGGGCCGUGCUGGGCCCUCCCCCGUGGAACUGGGAUUUAUGAAGCCGUAACCGGCCAGCGCCGCGGCAACCUCCGCUUCAUCCUGGAGCCAGGCCGGCCUCCUGCGCCGCGGAGGGGAGGGCGGUGGGCGGGAGCUGGGCGGAGGCGUGGGGCCGGCGGAAGGCGGCGGGGAGCUCUUCCCGGGAAAGGCCAGCACCUGAGGCUGCACUUUCUCCCCGUUUCCCCUCAGGAAAAGACGCACCAGCAGCCUAGAAUUCGAGGCACUGCAGAGCCGGAAGGGGCCUCGGCGCUGCUCCCUCCGCCCCCUCAUUUCACAAACCGGAAACUGAGACCCAAAGCAAGGAAGGGACUUGGCCAAGUUGAAGAGAUGAAGGCGCAGAGGCAUGAACUCCCGUAGCCAGAGAGUGUGAGCUGGACUCUACCUGGAGCAGCCUCGGUGCAGAGCCCAUGCCCCCAACCAUGUCCGUGGUCGAGGCCCAGCCCAGACAGGGCACAAAGGGGCUGAGGAAGAGGAAGUAAGAUGCCAGGGUUGCCAUGCAGGAGGGCAACCCCAAGUGAGAUGGGCAUCGUGGCCUAGGGCCCACCUUCCGGAAGAGCUCAUCAGAACUUCGGACACACUGCAUGGGCCUAGACCCAGGGCUCGUUGAGCUCCUCCCUCGGAUUGGCUUCGAAUUUUAGGUGAAUCCUCUCUAGCAGCCACAUUCACCCUUGCAAGCCUGCACUUUGUCAUCUUCUGAAAAGGUGCAGGAACAUGAUGCCCAGCUGACUCCCAGGGAGCGGGAGCCCCAGAGGCCAGCGGAGCACAGCCGCAGCAGGCAGAUCUGUUGGGAAACCACGGGAGUAUAGGAGCAGGGCUGGGGGCACCUGAGGGACUGUGGAGCCUGAAUUAUUGAAACGCUUAGAGUAAAGCAGAUUUAGAUUUCACAAAGACAGAGGUGAAGGUGGGUGAAGACGGAGGGAAGGAUUUAAAGGGAAAGAGAAAGAGGAAAGAUAAGAAUGAGGGAGAAAGAGGAAGAGAGAAAGAAAAAGAGAAAUAGAGUUAUCGAAGAUGACUGCAAGUCUGGCCUCUCUCAACCCAAGGAGCCAAGGAGGGGAAGGCCGGCCUGAGCAGCAACGUAGACAAGAGCUCAGGAGGGCAGGGACAGAGCCCUGGCUUCAGCAAGAGCGUGGGGAACAGAGGGCAAGGGGGUCCAUGCAGCCCAGGAUGGCAGGGUGCUCAUACACACAGCCUUGGUCCUGUCCCCUCUCCCAUUGCCGCUUUUGAGCUCACCUUGUUUAAGGCCAAAGCACACACCAUCCUCCCACAGAGCCACUAAUGCAAUUAACAAAACACAUUCAUAAAUCUUGCAUGGCGUCCGGAGCUGUCUCCUCUCCCUAAGCACAAAGGCCAGCUCCAGAGAUGCUGUGCAGAGAGCUGUCUGACCUCUCCAGCGUCAGGGCCCCCUGAAAAGUGCAGCAUAACCCUUAGUAGGACAGAAAGACCAUUGUCUUCUGCCAACCAUUACAAAGUGGAGUGGGGCUGGGGUUAGGAAACACAGACAAAUCAGAAGAGGCUGAGAAGGCGGAGAUGAAAGUGCAUAGGUGUUUGCAGGGAGCUGGGGAAUAGUUCGUGCCUUCCAAGCUCAACAAGAGAGCAUUCAGCAGAGACCAGAGAAUCACCACUUUUGGAGGGUGAUUUUACCUUGUGAGAACAGAGCACAGGGUGUGUGGGACCCAGGGCAUCUUCGGCAAUGCGGGCGUGACUUGGCGGGAUGUCGGUGUUUGUGUUUGCAUGUGUGUGUGCGUGCGUGCAUGCUCAGUCUGGAAAACUGGUGACUCACUAAAACACCGAGCUUUCUGAUCUGAAGAGCUUAUAUUCGGCUAUUUUUAGCUCGUCUUGUCUCUUGGCCCUUUUUUUCCCCUUGUCUGUUUUCAAAUGUAGAGGAGUCUGGAGACCAUGAAUGCCGUGUGUGUGUGUCUGCUAAUUUAGAGCUUGGGCCCAGAGGUGGGUACCCCUGAAGGUGCAGAGAUGAAGGCACGUGGGGUGUAUGUGUGUACAGCAGGGACACACUGACACAGACAGGGUGCACAUGCUCUUAUUCUGGCAUGUACACACGCGUACCAUGCAUACGUGCAAGCAGGAGUGAGGCCAGAAACGUCCCUGGAAACUCCGGCCUACACUCUCUUCACGUGGGUUGGUGUACAGCUACCCACUAUGCAUACUUCACAAGUAUAACUGCCUCCCCACCCCAGCCCCUGCCUCACACGACCCAGGUGGGCACACUCUCAUGAGGCACAUGGCCACAGGCACAGUCUGGGCCUAUCUUGGGGAAUGGCCCCAGCCCCUGUGCCUUGUUUCUUCUCUGUUCAGCCACUCUUCCAAAAAUUAUGACUUCUUCUCAAGAAGGCCUUUCUCUGCUGGUUGGCAAUAGGAAACACGAAGUGCCAGCUUCUGCACUUGGCUUCUCCUGGGACUCAUUCAGCUGAUCCCACCUGCCCACCACCAUUGGCCGAGACCGCCUCCCCAGUCCAGUGGUCAUCCAGCUACAGGGGGUCUGGCAACUGCUUAGAGAGGCCAGGCAGGGGUCAAUGCUGUGUGAGCUCCGUUCCUCUAGCCGGGAGAGAGGGAGAAAGGAGAGCGAGCUCGGAUUGCCAUCUGCCUAGGUGCAGUGUGGGGCAGGCGGGGAGCGGAGCUCGGACUGCCGUCUGCCUAGGUGCAACGUGGGGCAGGCAGGGAGCGGACAGCACUCUUCAAGGCUCUAGAACGCUGGUGGGUUCCUGGACCUUGACUCUGUGUGACAGGACUGUGUAUGCAACCCAGUGUCAAGAGCAGAAAUGCGCAAAUGCUGCCUAUGACCAGUGCCUCAGUGAUGCGGCACGCCUGGGAAAGGGCACCCACAGCCUCUCUUUCCACACAGCACACAUGCUGUGCACUCACGCACAGCAGCACGUGCCUGCAUGCACACACUCUUAGAAGCCUGCGUGAGAGAGAACACGAGCCUUCGUUACUCCAGACACCAAAGCAAGCUCUGAGCUGCAUCAUCCCUCAAGUCUGCAGUUUAGGCAUGGCUCAGAGGCCCCAGCCAAGGCGGCCAAAACCCAGCCAUGUGUUGCUCCUUAAGCCAUGUCUUCUGCUGAGAGUCUGCGUCAGCCCAGAGGAGGGGCCCUCGGUCUCCCUUGCCUGCCGGGAGGCCCUGUGGUUCCUGGUGUCCAGUGGGCUCAGCGUCACGUCCUGGAAGGAGCCACUACCCGCCUACUGCCCCACUGCAUUCCACUCCACACACAUUUGGGGAUCCAGCGCUCUGUGCAAGGCACUCCAUGUCAUCAUGAUGAAGGAGGACCAGCCGGAGUCCCCACCCCCAGACCCCUGCCCCAAGAUAGGCUGGCACAGAAUAAGAUGCCUGCACAAUUAGCCAUUGCAGGACUCGUCACCCAGGGUGUGUGUGGUCAUGAGCCACGCAGAAGGGAUAAUUCUCUCUUCCUCCUGGGGCCUGGGGGCCUUCACAGAGAACAGGACAGGGGCUUUUGCCUGGGCCCUGAAUAAUGAACAGAUCUCCCCAGGCCAAAGAGGAACUUCUCAGGCAGGGAACUGGCCUGCAUGAAGGUGUGGGAUUGGGAAGCGUGGACAGGGGCUCGUGGGGAGAAAUCAGAUCUUGCCAGCAGACAGACUGGAGCUCAAGCCUGCCUGACUUGCCUCCGGUUCUGUGGCUCUUGCCUGAAGGAGAAGUGAUUUUGAAUUAUCUACCUCUCUUCUUACCCCACAUGGAAGGAAAAAGUCUUUUUAUCUUGAAAGAUCUGGACUCCUUCUGCCUUCUGAGCAUCUGUAAGAUGGAGAUACUAAUAGGGCCUUCCCUAUAGAGAUAUUUUGAAGAUUAAAUGAGAGACCUCAUGGAAAGCUGUUAGCACAGAGCUGAGUAAGUAAGCAUUGUCAUUAGUUAUUAUUAUCCUAUUUUAUAGGCUACCACAGUGAUUCUCAACCGAUUUUACCCCUCAGAGGUCAUUUGGCAAUGGCUGGAGACAUGUUUGGUUGUCACAACUUGCAGGAGUGGGAGGGAGGCUGCUCCCCGCCCCUGGUGGGUAGGGCCAGGGUGCUGCUAAGCACCCACCAUGCACAGGGCAGCCCCCACAGCAGAGCAGAGCCCCCCCAGAAUGCAGAGAGCACAGAGGCUGAGAAGGCCUGGGCUGGGGGGUUUCACCUUCUCCUGAAGACAGUGCGGUGACCACGAUUUUCAAGCAGGGAAUGACAUCAUAAAAUCUAAGUUUCAGAAAGAAAAAUCUGGCAACAUUGUGACAUGUCUAGAAAGCUCAGCCAGGGGCACUGCAGACCUGCAGAUGAGACCGGGGGGAAGGAGGGCUGGGUCUGCAGCAAGACCAGGAGGCCGCACAUUGGCAAGAAGAGAGCAGGAGAACCUGCUGAGGGCUAGAGGAAGGAAGGGACAGGCCUGGGGCCACUGGAGGACCCUAAAGUUUCCAGCGCAUGGACCUGAGCAGAUGGUAGUGCCGCCUUUCAACAGCAUAGGAAGAAAAGACUCCAUUUGGGAACUGUGUCCUCCAGGGCCCAGGUUGGGGGAAGCUCCUCCACCAACCUGUACGUGAGCCAUGCCCCUCCAGUCCAUCUGCUCCCACUCAAGGGGGGACCACCCUUCAAGAGACCCUCACCCAGCCCAUCAGUGCCCAAGAGAGGCAGGCAUCCAACUGCACCAUCUCCCUCUCCUUCCCCAUGCAGCUCCCUCUGAAUGAUGAUCAGUGAGGCCCUGCAAGACAGCCUCCCGAGGCCGAGCCACCGAGCUACAGGACGAAGAUGAUCUUUCUGGGCUCCUGAUGUCCAGACCCUGUCUUGUCUUUCAGCAUGUUCAGAAUACCUGUGGCUGCUGUGGGCAGAGAGGAGGUACCGGGGAAGUCCUGGCAGACUUAUCUAUCGGCAGAGAGACUGAGUCUCCAUGCCACCCCAAUUCCCCCUGCCCUUUUGACUGAGCUCUGAACACAAGUUAGAGGAGCUGGGGGAAAGCUCCAAGCAGUCAAUACAUCAACCAGUGAGCACGUGACAUGUCCUGUCUCGUGCUCAGCGCUGGGGAGGACAUCCCCACAAAUAUCACAGCUCAAAUUCACUGGUUGGGAAGGCAAGACUCACAGGCAGAGAAGAGUCAAAAAACUAUUAAAGAGGCCCCUGGCAUAGUCUGAGGAGCCCUGGAUAGAGGUAAGACCAGAGUUCUAUCCCCAGGCCUCAGGCCUGAAGCAGGUCCCUGUACUUCCAAAAGCUCCAGCUACACCAAGUUAUAGACAACUUCUCAUGGCCUGGAUUGUGGAUGGCAGUGGCGCAUCUGAUUGAUGGGUACUGAUGCCUGGAGCACUGUGCUGAGGAGGAAUCCGAGGCAGCAGCAAGUUUAGUAGGACUGUGAUGGCCAACCGGCGAGGCGAGCGGUAGGUGCCACCGGGAUGUCAUGGGGAUGUACCUCCUGCUUAUUAACCCUUCUGGUUAAGAGCAACUGACUGGAGCCAUUUCUAAGGACUCCUCCAGCUCCCAAAUGGGAUAAUUCUAUGAUGGAAACGUUACAUUUCAAGGCACUGGCUGGAGCAGAAUAAGGCAAAGCAGGAAGAGAUCUGCAUGGGUUGGGCUGAUCAGGGAAGGCUUUGGGAAGGAGGCGGCACUUUAGUGCGGCCUCAAGGUGGGGGAGUGUGAGUAGCUGUACCGGAGGUGGGAGGACGUUUAUGUGCAUAAAACUGGGGCUGAGCAUGGGCUGUUCUUGGUACAGGAGGGAGGCGGCUAGCAUCGCUGGAAUGCGUUGUCUGUGUUUGGGGCAAGUAUGAUUACAUAUGGGAGAGCACACUGCCUGAGAGCUUCCCACAUUGAAGCCACAAGCAAAGAUGACGUUCCAUGCAUGCUGGCUUCCAGUCCUCACAGCUCGUCUUCAAGGCAAAUGCUCUUCCCAGCCUUCCCUAGCAUUCUGUGACUUGCUCAGGGCUACCGCUGGCAGGUGCGAAUCCUGCAUUCAGCCUGGGCAGUGCGGUUCUGAUGGCUUCGGGCAUAACUUCUCUGCUCUGGUGCCUUCUCUACUCUUAGAAGCUGACCAGUAAGGAAACCCAGCAAUGCAGUUGAGACACCAUGGCCGGAUCUGUGGAUUCUAGGGACCAGGAAGAGGCAGGAACAGCUGUAGACUGAGGAAGGAGGGCCUUGCUUGAGCCAUCAGUCACACAAACAGAUCCAAGCAAAGAACAGGGCAAGGUGGACACAGAUCAAAGAUGGGCACUAAAUGCCACUGGGUUAGGGCUUGCUUUAGACCCCCCCAAGUCCUACAUAAUCUACUGGAAACAACAAAAAGUGUCCCAACCCUCUGGGAAUAGGCAAGAAGGUGUGGGAGGUCAUGAAAUUCCAGGGACGUGGGGCUCAGCCUGUGAGGAUGGGAAUAGAGCCUGCCAUGGUCUUAACACCAGCCCAGAGGCAGAAGGCAACUGUCUAAAUAAAGAUCUCAUUUCA